This 383-nucleotide ribosomal RNA is filed under the name uncultured bacterium. RNAcentral's name for it is "bacterial SSU rRNA". It matches the Rfam family "Bacterial small subunit ribosomal RNA", at positions 28 to 412 of the family's 1533-position model. The record is from RNAcentral.
GACGAACGCUGGCGGCGUGCUUAACACAUGCAAGUCGAGCGGUAAGGCCCUUUCGGGGGUACACGAGCGGCGAACGGGUGAGUAACACGUGGGUGACCUGCCCUCAGCUCUGGGAUAAGCCUGGGAAACUGGGUCUAAUACUGGAUAUGACUCCACGGUGCAUGUCGUGGGGUGGAAAGCCUUGUGCGGCUGAGGAUGGGCCCCGCGGCCUAUCAGCUUGUUGGUGGGGUGANGGCCUACCAAGGCGACGACGGGUAGCCGGCCUGAGAGGGCGACCGGCACACUGGGACUGAGACACGGCCCAGACUCCUACGGGAGGCAGCAGUGGGGAAUCUUGCGCAAUGGGCGAAAGCCUGACGCAGCGACGCCGCGUGAGGGAUGAC